UAUAUGAUUAGCUGUUUAUCACUAGAAUACCUUAUCAAGCAAAUAGAAACUACAAGUGGUCUAGCCAUCUUUGACAGAUUGAGAAUUGAAAACCUUUUACUUCAUAGUUUUGAUAUUGGUGUGGUGUGAACAAAAAAUACAGGUCAACUAAACAAGUUUUUAACAAAGACAGGUGAAAUAAUUGGCAAAAAAGGCCAUGGCCCAGGGUGGCAGUUUUGGAUAGCUAUAGAGUGAGCAGCAAACCUUUCUAGACAAUGUGCAUUAGCAAUAAAGACAUCAUUCUAAUGAUAAAUAACGAAAUACGGAAGGUAGAGGCAAGGAACAAAAUCUCCAUAUCGUCGGGGAUAGUGCAAUACCGCGUAACUAACAAAUGCAGUAAGGUCCAAUUACCUUGUACAUUGUUUGAAUUUCGAACUCUUACGACUUUGUUAGUUGCGCGGUAUUGCACUAUCCCCGACGAUAUACUAAAAAGUGUCCAACAAAAAACCAUAAAUAGGUGGCGCUACAAUACCUAGAAUACUUGAGAAAAAAAUCUAAUUAUAGACAGCACACUACACUCCAUCAAUAACGCCUAGGUUCUUAAAUACUCUAGCACUACUCUAAGGAGAUUUGGAACUAUUAUUUAUUCUUUCUGCCUAAGGAGUUUCUGUUCCUUGCCUCUACCUUCCGUAUAACGAAACACCAGUCAUCUGUCAAUUUGACAUUUUAAGGUUCCAUAGCCAACUAGGAACCCUUAUAGGUUCGCCGCUCGUGUUUAGUUUCAAGUCAAGUUUGCAAGUUAGGUUAUUUUAUUAUGGUGCCAUGUUAGGUACCAUAAUAAAAUAUAUUUUUUUCUCUUUAACCUAAUGGUGUGGGGUAUUGUUGGAUAGGUGUUUCAAAAUGAAAACUAUUGCGAAAAUGAUUGGUCCAGCUGUUUUUGAGUUAUCACAGAAAACCUUCUCUCUUAGUAAAAAGACUGCAAAGGCAUGGUAAAACAUUAACUACGUUCAAUUUUAAAUUUUAUCUGAAAUUGUUUAGUAGGUAGCCAGUAAAAGUACUUUUGGUAAAGCAAAUGCUUUCAGGCAAAAGUUAAGGAAAGGAUUUCAUAGUCUAAAGAAGAACACGACUAAAUCCGCCAAGUCAGCAAAAAAUAAUAAGUAAUGACACUGGGAACGAGAAAGUACAGACAUCGCAAAUAUCCAUUGUCCAGGGUAAAGUAGAUAAAUGAGUCUUCUAAAAAUUACACAAUAUUAAUACAUUUUAAUAACAAUCUCUUAGACAUGUUGCUGAAAUCAUAAGCGUUUAAUUUACAUUCAAAAUAAAAGAAAGUAACCUAGAUAAAUAGCCAAUGAAGGUGAUUAACCUAACAACCGUCCUAGAGUUAAAGAAUGAAUUCGCACUGGCCGAGUACGUGGACAAUAAGCCUUAUUUUUGAAAAACAAGAAGUAAAUAAAUGACACAUGCAGAUUACUUAAAUGUCGACUUAAUUAAAUAUUGUACGAACCUGUCUGUGUAUCCUGCAUUUAAUUUCACUUCACUUGUUUCCUCUAUAAAGAGCAUAAACUCAUCCGCUACUUAGCUCAGGGGAAUGUAGACUAGAAAUUAUUAAAUUGUUCCAAUGUUCGAUCAGAUUCAGGUUGUUAUCUCCAGUAAUAAGAACAUUAAAAAAUGCGCAUUAAGAUUAUCUUCUUCCUCUGGUCGUCACGUAAAACCAUGAAGAUGAACUACUAACCAUCGCACAACACAAUAACAAACAAAAUGGCCGCUUCACAGGAAUCGGUGAGGGCGGGAGGUUAGAAAAAGACCACUGCAGACUGCAGACAGACUAACGAAUGGCUUUGGGAUAUCUUGCUGACGCAGCUAUAAAUAGCUAAUGUGCUAGCUAUAGAUAGAUGGCAGCCGUGUCGUUUAUUUAUAAAAAAAUGAAGCUGAAAAUCGCCGUAUUAUUUGUAAUAGAUGAAUUUCUUUGUGUUAAAAUAUUUAAACUAAAAUAAACAAUAUUGUUAACAGUAAAAA
Cydia pomonella (codling moth) is the source of this 1995-nucleotide long non-coding RNA. RefSeq lists it as uncharacterized. The transcript has 2 exons. Lineage: Eukaryota; Metazoa; Arthropoda; Insecta; Lepidoptera; Tortricidae. The record is from RefSeq and is a predicted model, not a curated record.